UACAGAGGGUGCAAGCGUUAAUCGGAAUUACUGGGCGUAAAGCGUGCGUAGACGGUUAUGUAAGUCAGAUGUGAAAGCCCCGGGCUCAACCUGGGAAUUGCAUUUGAGACUGUGUAGCUAGGGUGCGGAAGAGGGAAGCGGAAUUUCCGGUGUAGCGGUGAAAUGCGUAGAUAUCGGAAGGAACACCAGUGGCGAAAGCGGCUUCCUGGGCCAGCACCGACGUUCAGGCACGAAAGCGUGGGGAGCAAACAGG
This 253-nucleotide ribosomal RNA is filed under the name uncultured bacterium. RNAcentral's name for it is "partial 16S ribosomal RNA". It matches the Rfam family "Bacterial small subunit ribosomal RNA", at positions 524 to 776 of the family's 1533-position model. The record is from RNAcentral.